This 90-nucleotide transfer RNA is filed under the name Patescibacteria group bacterium. RNAcentral describes it as "tRNA-Leu". It matches the Rfam family "tRNA". Rfam says of the family: Transfer RNA (tRNA) molecules are approximately 80 nucleotides in length. Their secondary structure includes four short double-helical elements and three loops (D, anti-codon, and T loops). Further hydrogen bonds mediate the characteristic L-shaped molecular structure. tRNAs have two regions of fundamental functional importance: the anti-codon, which is responsible for specific mRNA codon recognition, and the 3' end, to which the tRNAs corresponding amino acid is attached (by aminoacyl-tRNA synthetases). tRNAs cope with the degeneracy of the genetic code in two manners: having more than one tRNA (with a specific anti-codon) for a particular amino acid; and 'wobble' base-pairing, i.e. permitting non-standard base-pairing at the 3rd anti-codon position. The record is from RNAcentral.
GCCGAAGUGGUGGAAUUUGGUAGACACGCAGGCUUGAGGGGCCUGUGGGCGUUUUUGCCCGUGGAGGUUCAAGUCCUCUCUUCGGCACCA